RNAcentral lists this ribosomal RNA (448 nucleotides) under uncultured bacterium. Its description in RNAcentral is "partial 16S ribosomal RNA". It matches the Rfam family "Bacterial small subunit ribosomal RNA", at positions 331 to 795 of the family's 1533-position model. The record is from RNAcentral.
CCAGACUCCUACGGGAGGCAGCAGUGGGGAAUACUGCACAAUGGGGGAAACCCUGAUGCAGCGACGCCGCGUGAAGGAUGAAGUAUUUCGGUAUGUAAACUUCUAUCAGCAGGGAAGAAGGAGGACGGUACCUGACUAAGAAGCCCCGGCUAACUACGUGCCAGCAGCCGCGGUAAUACGUAGGGGGCAAGCGUUAUCCGGAUUUACUGGGUGUAAAGGGGGCGCAGACGGCAGCGCAAGCCAGGAGUGAAAGCCCGGGGCCCAACCCCGGGACUGCUCUUGGAACUGCGCGGCUGGAGUGCAGGAGGGGCAGGCGGAAUUCCUGGUGUAGCGGUGAAAUGCGUAGAUAUCAGGAGGAACACCGGUGGCGAAGGCGGCCUGCUGGACUGCGACUGACGUUGAGGCCCGAAAGCGUGGGGAGCAAACAGGAUUAGAUACCCGGGUAAUA